GCAGUAGCUCAGUGGUGGAGCGCUCGCCUCACAUACGUGGAGACCUAGGUUCGAUUCCCAGCUGC
This 65-nucleotide transfer RNA is filed under the name Toxocara canis (dog roundworm). It matches the Rfam family "tRNA". From Rfam's summary of the family: Transfer RNA (tRNA) molecules are approximately 80 nucleotides in length. Their secondary structure includes four short double-helical elements and three loops (D, anti-codon, and T loops). Further hydrogen bonds mediate the characteristic L-shaped molecular structure. tRNAs have two regions of fundamental functional importance: the anti-codon, which is responsible for specific mRNA codon recognition, and the 3' end, to which the tRNAs corresponding amino acid is attached (by aminoacyl-tRNA synthetases). tRNAs cope with the degeneracy of the genetic code in two manners: having more than one tRNA (with a specific anti-codon) for a particular amino acid; and 'wobble' base-pairing, i.e. permitting non-standard base-pairing at the 3rd anti-codon position. The record is from Rfam by way of RNAcentral. Lineage: Eukaryota; Metazoa; Nematoda; Chromadorea; Rhabditida; Toxocaridae.